RNAcentral lists this long non-coding RNA (674 nucleotides) under Sorghum bicolor (sorghum). Its description in RNAcentral is "long non-coding RNA (SBIC_LNC009110)". Lineage: Eukaryota; Viridiplantae; Streptophyta; Magnoliopsida; Poales; Poaceae. The record is from RNAcentral.
AAAGCCAUCCACUUAUAUAUAUCAUCCUAUAAGCAUUGAGGGUAGUUAAGCUGUGUUGACCCUAAGGAAUCAGUCAUGCAGUUAAAGUCAAUACUAUAUGCUCUCCAUCCAUUGAUCUUAGCUACUUCUACCCUUAGAAGUAUGCAACCACUUUGCCACAUUCUCCCUGUGCUACUUCUGUUCCUAGAAAUACCUCCCACAUAUACGCACUACACUCUGUUGUUUCUAUCCUAGAGACAUGCACCUAUGCUGCUCCUACCCUAGUAGUACGCAUUUAUCCAUCCAUAUAUACAUAUUCCUCAUCUACUUAGAAAAUGUUCUACUUCUACACUAGGAGAGGACACCCAAAAAUAUUCAUUGCCAUUAUGUCUUUUUCUACUUAUCCAAUAAAGCUCCAGUUAUUUUAGUUGAUGCUCCCUACUGCUAUUAGUGCAUUAAAAGGAUUGGUUAUUCUAAAAAAGGAGAAGAAAAGAAAGAGGACAAAAGUCCCAAAAGAAAAAGAAAAGAAAAGGUAGCCAACUCCUUUUUAGAUUAGGGAGGUAUGUUAUCCCCAAGGAGCAAAUGUAGAAUUAGAUAUUCAGUCAUCAUCCCUUAUUAUCACCAUCAUUCUUAUCACUCAUUUCAUUCACUGCACUCACAUGCACAUAUGACUUGAUUGUAUGACUAGUUUCUCU